Molecule: long non-coding RNA, 974 nt
Organism: Caretta caretta (loggerhead turtle)
Lineage: Eukaryota; Metazoa; Chordata; Testudines; Cheloniidae
Source: RefSeq, a predicted model, not a curated record
ACAUGCUGCCACAUUCGGAACAAGCUGCAAGUGUCCAGACAGUGUCCCCAGAACCCCAUGAGAUGGGGGUGGGGAGGUGCAGUAUUGGGUUUCCUGGCCACAAGGAUGUGCACUGCUGCUGCGAGAUCAUUGAGAAAAGAAUAGUUCUGAUUCAGACCAUUCAGGGAAGGGACCUGAUCACAGACAUCAGAGAAAUUCUUAUAAAAAUGAUGGAACUCGUUCAAGCCAUUCCAUACCUUCUUCCUCGUGAUUUCUGAAAUCUGGCAGAUCCCAUUUGUGCCUUUCAAUCCUGCCUGCCUGCACCAGGCUGGAUUUUUGCUUAAUAUGGAGGAAUACCGUUUCAGUAAAGCUUUGCUUUCAGUUCCAAGAGGAAGGAAUGGAUGGUUUGUUUAUUACAACUGAGAAAGGCAGGGGUCAUUCUAUCAGCCAUCUCACUGCAAAGGAUAAGCAGGGAAAUGAGGGUAUAUCUACUACAUACUUGUGGCAUCUGCCCUGCUCCCUAUACUGCUCGCCUAUGUGCUCCUUUGGUCCGUGCACAAGUGAUUGCCGAAUGAAGCGGGAAAGUUUCCUACAAUGGGGGAAGGAACAAAGCUGUUCUGCCACGGAACCUUCAGCAGACCAUGGCCGAGUACCUCCGGGAAACUUUCCUGGAGAUCUCUCUGGAGGAUUCCCAUGAGAACUUGGCAUGUAUCAACACCCUGUUCCACCGUACCGAUUAGCUACACAGGAAAACGACCAGCUCACAGAAACACAUCCAGCCUCCCACAUUUCUAUACCCUGAACCCACCUCCACACUACUCAGGCCACAGUCACUUACCAGGUGUCUCAUCUCCUGCUUCUUGCUCCCCAGAGAACGACUGCUGAGAUUGGCUAGACACCUCUGGAGUGGAGAACAGUUCCUGGCUGCCUGCCCCAUCGAGUGACCCCGCUGGGAGCUGCAUAUCCUCAUCUAACUCCACCUCUUCAUCAGUAAG